GUCGCAAAGAAUUUUUUUUUAGUCCGGACCUGGAUUUUUCUUGUGAUUAGUAGUUCGGUGGUUUGUGUUUUAAAUGAGACAUAUGUGUACCAAAUAUCAAAAAAAUAUACAGGGUGGUUCUAAAGUUAUGGGGCCAGAAAGAAAUGGGCAAAAUCUAUAAAACACCCUGUAACUAGGUUAUAAAAAUCGGUAAGGCAAUAAAUGUGGUAUAUGUACAACCGCCUCAGUGACCUCUAUUCGCCAUUCAAGUAUUUCCGUUUCCCAAUGAAACAACCUGUAUUAAACAAGAUCAAAAACAUUAAAUGCAGCCUGCAUUAAACCUGUAUAAAUUAAAGUUAUACACUUUUUUCAAAAAAUAAAAAAAAUUAGGUUAUUUACACUCAACCUACACGUUUCAAAGAUGUCUUGACAUAAAUCAAGAUGUAUUCAUGUGUUUCAUAGAUUAUAACAAGGCCUUUGAUAAAGUGUGGCAUGAUCAUCUAAUCAGACUCCUGGCAGAAAAGAAUUUAGAUAAACGAGACAUCCGACUAAUAGCAAAUAUGUACUACAAUCAGAAAGCAGUAGUGAGAGUAGAGAAUAAUACCACUGAAGAAAUUGAAAUAAAGCGAGGUGUGAGACAAGAGGGUGUAUACUGUCACCAACCCUGUUUAAUCUCUAUUCCGAAGACGUAAUGAAUCGAACACUCUCUGAGCAAUCCAUAGGUAUUAAAAUAAAUGGUGUUGGAUUAAACAAUCUGAGAUUUGCCGACGACAUCGUUCUGAUCGCAGAAACACUUGAAGAGCUACAGAUAUUGGUGAAUAAGAUAGCAGACUGCAGCGAAGAAUAUGGACUAUCUGUGAACAUAAAGAAAAGUAAAUUUAUGGUAAUAUCGAAACCAACACGAAAUGUCCAAAAUCUGGCAUAUUUACACAAUAAAAUUAUCGAUCGAGUUAGCAAAUACAAAUAUUUAGGCACUUUUGUAAAUGAAGACAACGAUAUCUCAGCAGAAAUCAAAAUAAGAAUAGAAAAAGCCAGAUCGAUAUUCACUAAAAUGAAGAGAGUGUUGUACGGAAUGGAGUCAUGGACGCUGAAAAAGAUUGAUAUCAAAAAAUUGAAGGCAUUUGAACUGUGGAUGUAUCGCAGAAUCUUGAGAAUAUCAUGGACGGAGAGUCACAAACGUCGAGGUCUUGAGAAGAAUGAAUAAAGAAAAGGAAGUCAUAUUUACGAUCAAAAAACGAAAACUGGAAUAUUUGGGACACAUUACAAGAGGCGAAAGAUAUGAACUCCCUAAUAGCACACGACGUCCUUUGGACGUCCAAAAUAGGUCCAUUUUUGGUCCUUACGUCCAUGGACUAUAAACGGACGUCCUUUGGACGUCCCAUGUUGGACGUCCUUCGGAAGGAAUAAAUAUGGACGUCCUUUGGACGUCCGACGUUGGACGUCCUUCGGACGGAAUAAAUAUGGACGUCCGACGUUGAACGUCCUUUGGACGUCCAUACUGGACGAAAUACGGACGUUUUAUGAACGCUUAUAUAUUAUAUUGGACACAUUAUACCAAUUAACGGGAUCAAAUAGCAAAAUAAUUCAAUAAAAUAUUAACUUAGGCGUUAACUUUACGUUAAUGAAAUACAGUCAAACCUGUCAGUAACGGCCACUAAAAUGAAAGAACUAUUGGCCGAUAUAGAAAGGUGGCCGUUAUUGCCAGUUUUUGUAGUCUAGAUAUACAGUAAAACUUGUGUUACUGGCCACCUGUACUAACGGCCAGUUUAAAAAUUCCCCAAACCAAUUAUAUCUAGACUACAAAAACUGGCAAUACCGGUCACCUUUCUAUAUCGGCCAAUAGCUUUUUCAUUUUUAGUGGCCGUUACUGACAAGUUUUACUGUAAUUGGUUUGCGGAAUUUUUAAACUGGCCGUUAGUACAGGUGGCCGGUGUUUGCAGGGGGCCGGUAACACAGGUUUUACUGUAGUUUAAAUCGAAAAGAUUAAAUCUUAAUUCAAAAUUGUAUAUACAAUUAUUACAAUUAUAAACUAUAGUUUAAUAUCCAAAACAUGUUUUUGAUUUUAUGUAAUGUAAAGAAAAUCUUAUUUGUAAAUUAUUGGUUACAAUGUUUAACAAUAGGAAAUAUUCAAGAAUAAAUAAAAUAAAAGUUUAAUCCUAACAACACAAAACAUUCCAGGAAUGUAGGUAGGUACUACCGUUCUCUUCCGUGAACAUCUAUCUGAUUAAAUUAUGGGUGGAAAGUUACCACAAGAUAUUCUAUGUACAAUGUCUUCCUGGAGGGGUAAAAUUGUCCAUUACAAGAUUUUUAGAGGCCAUUUACUGUUCAAUUUGCGUUCAUUUUCAAAUUUGCCGCGCGAAUAUCUAUGUAGCGUCGCGUGGUCAUUGGUCAUCACAUUUCAUAUAAUUUCAUUUUCGUAAGAUAACCGAUAACCUAAAAAUUUAGUAAAAAUUUUGAUUGGAAAAAAAUGCAUUGAUAAGGGGGUGUGGGAAAUGGAAAUUAGUGGCUUUUUUGCUGUACUGUGUGCUAGUUUUUGCUCUGGGAUCUGGCUGGAUCUCUUGUUUAAACAAUUUUAAUCAGCUGAAAGUGGUCUACAAAAAAAAACAAGAAGGAAAUGUAUAGCCUUGUGGCUAUGAAAGGCAAAAGAGAGAUAUAAAAAGUGUAUUGGCUAGUUGGAAGAAAGUCCACAUUGUCCAUGCAUAAUAAGUUAUUACUUUAUCAACAAAUAUCAAGAAGAUAGCAGGAAGUCACGAGCAACACGAGCAAUUGAACAACUUCAUAAGUUCAAGAAUAUCGAGGAAAUCCAGCUCCUCGAUACUACUGGGCAAACUAGAAGAUUGAAGAGGACAAAGCCUUUUGAACUAGUUUGAGUGAUAGGUGAUAGUGAAAAACGGAGCAUAGUGCUUGUGUGCUGUGCCUGUGUAUGUUAGAAUAGUGCACGAUCUUGUUAGAUUAGAUAAGAGACGCUAUGGGGUAAGCUCUUCAUUUUAAGAAACAGUAGUCAUUUAGGUUAAAUUAAAAUUGCUCCUUGGUCAGUUAUGACCAGAUUGUUUUUUUAUGUUUGGCAAAAAGGACUUAAGUCAGAAUUGCACAUUGAUAAUGUUUUGAUGAUUUCUGGACCAGAAAAAAACUGUUGUAGAUGUAAACUGUAUGUACAGUAGAAUCUACUACAGUACUGUAGAAAUCAUCAAAACAUUAUCGAUGUGCAAUUCUGACUUAAGCCCUUUUUCCCAAACAUCAGAGAAUUGUAAUGUACAAUAAUUCUCCUAUCUGCUUUUUCAUGAAUUUUGUAGGAGAAGAAAAACCAUUUUUAGGAUCAUCUGCUUUCACAUGUAAAUUUUGACAUGUUUUGUAGUAAAUAGAUAGUUGAAUUUACUACAAAACAUGUCAAAAAAUAUAUGAAAACAGGAGGUGACUAUAAAAAAAGUUUUUAGUCUCUCUUACAAGACUCAUGAAAAAACAAAUCGGAGGUAUGUCACAUCUGUGACUAUAUCCAGGGAAUGUCUAAAAAAUAUACUUUGAUGUCCCAAGAACCAAAUAUAACCUACAGUCCAUCUAAUUUACUUACUGUUGCAUGUCAUUAUCUACGCCAGAGAUCUAAGUUGACAUAGUUGCCAAAGUAUAAAAAGAUCCUGAAUCCAUUUUAAAUCAAAUAUAUCACAUAAUUAUUGUAAACGUGGAUUAUACAACAAAACAAAUUAAUAUUCAAUGUAAAUAAGUAAAAACUUAAGAAAUAGAGAACAAGAAUUAAGUUAUAAUCUUUUAAGGUUUGCGUGCAAGCGUUUUUGCACUGCAUUGUUAAUAAUUAAAAAACGGCUCCGAACUCUUGGCAAAAAGCCGGUAGGUUUCUUUGUAUAAGUAUGUCUACAAUAACAACUAAAAAAGUUGUCAGAUACCACGAUGAUUAUUCCAAGUCGUUAUAAAAUUAGUUGAAAUUUAUAUUUUUAUAGUAGAGGAUCUUUUUAUAGUAAAGUAAAUAAUAAAGACAGUAAAUAUAAUAAAUAAAACAGAUACUUAUAGUAAAGAAUAUAAACAAAUAUGAAGUGUCAUCACCACAACUGUCAAAUAAAUGUUACCAAUUUAUUCUAAAAUGUCACCUUCGUUCGAUUACAGUUACAGUGUGAUCCGAACAAAUCUGCUUCAUAAAAACGCUUUAUAAUCCAUUUAUACAAAUUAAAUGAAACAUAUUAUUGUGUAUUUCUUUAGGUUAACAUUAAUAGAAAUCUUCAAAUAUUAUUUCUACGCGUAUAUAAUAAAAUAUGUCUAGAGUCUGUAUUUCCAGUGUACUCAGCAAAGUGAUUCUAAAAAAGAACACACCUACCGCCUAAAUAUGUCGUGUUGGUAUCAUGCGACCUCACAGACUACGACGAGGAUGACGCACAACAGUUAGUAAAUUAGACGAAGUAUGUAGAUAUAUACAGGGUGUAACAAAAAUACAGGUCAUAAAUUUAAUCACAUAUUCUGGGACCAAAAAUAGUUUGAUUGGACCUAACUUACCUUAGUACAAAUGUGCACACAAGAAAAGUUGCAGCCCUUUGGCUGCAACUAUCUUACGAAAAAACUAUAGUAAAAUUUGGACACCCCAUAAAAAUUUUAUGGGGGUUUUGUUCCUUUAAACCCCCCCAAAUUUUUGUGCACGUUUCAAUUUAAUUAUUAUUGUAGUACCAUUUAAACACAACGUUUUAAAAACUUUUUUGCCUCUUAUUGCUUUUUCGAAAAGUCAAUUUUUAUCGAAAUAUUUUGAAUAUUUGUCAAAUCCACCACAUAUUUGUAUAUGGUUAAGUACGAUUAUGGAGACUUGGUAAUAAUAUGCAGACUUAUUUAUGCUUUACAUUUUUAGGUAUAUUUUGAACCAUAUUAAAAAAGAAGCCAGAUCUCGAUAAAAUGUGCCUUAUCGAAAAAAUACAAAGAGGCAAAAAAGUUUUAAAAACAUUCUGUUUAACUAAUGGUACCUCAGUAAUAGUUUAAUUGGAACGUACACAAACAUUUGGGGGGUUUAAAGGAACAAAACCCCCAUAAAAUUUUUAUGUAGACAUGUUAAAAAAGAAGUCGCAACUCGAUAAAAACUGCCUUAUCUGAAAAAUACUAAGAAACAAAAAUAUUGAAUUUAACUAAUGGUACCUACCACAAUAAUAAAAUUGAAUUGGAACGUACACAAAAGUUUGGGAGGAUCUAAGGGAUCAAAACCCCCAUAAAAUUUUUAUGGGGUGCACAAAUUUCACCAUAAUUUUUGUUUAAGAUAUUCCUGCCAUAAUACUGCCACAUGUCCAUUUUCAAUAAAAAAUCGCUAAUAGUUUUCGAUAUAAUCGAAAAAAUCGAUUUUCAUUUUGUAAUUUCAAAGGGCUGUAACUUUUUUUAUGUGCAUAUUUGUACUAAGGUAAGUUAGGUUCAUUCGAACUAUUUUUGGUCCCAGAAUAUGUGAUUUAAUUUAUGACCUGUAUUUUUGUUACACCCUGUAUAUACAGCCGAUUACGCACCACCUUAAAAAUUGGGCAUUUUUGAUGUCUCAAAUUUCCUAAACCUGUUGUUGCAUCUAAGUGAUUUUUUUAUAAUAUUCUAGCCUAGGCUAUAGGUUAAGUACCUCCUUAUGCUUGUCAUGCACGGGGAGCUAUACUGUAAUAUAUAUUAUAUCACAUCGCUCUCUAUAGUAAUGAGUGAGCCUGUACAUACGGAACCAUUUGUUUCCUGUCUGCAGGCUCACUCAUUACUAUAGAGAGCGAUAUGAUAUAAUGUACAUAUAUUACAGCAUAGCUCCCUGUGCGUGACAAGCUUAAGGAGGUAACCUAUAGCCUAGGCUAUAAUAUUAUAAAAAAAUCACUUAGAUGAAACAACAGGUUUAGGAAAUACGAGACAUCAAAAAUACCCCAUAUUUAAGGUGGUGCGUUAAUUUCUUGGAGAAGUGUAUUGUAAUUUAAUGUAAAUAAUGUAAUAUCCAAUAAUUGUAAUUUAAUAUAAGAUGUAAUAUAAGUUCCUUAAAAAAUAUAUUUUUUAUUUCCCACGACAUUAGAUGGAUGUUCGGCAGCAAGACAUUGGACCAAACUAAGACGUCCUAUGAAGGCCCAAUUGACGUCCACCGAACGUCCCUUCGGAUGUUAAGUGGACCUCCAUUGGACGUUUGGCAACGUGGCAUUUGGACCAAAAUUGGACGUCCUGUUAAUGUCCAAUUCACGUCCCCUAGGACGUCCGGUUAAGGUCCAAUUUACUUCCGAUUAAGGUCCAAUUUACGUCCGAUUAAGGUCCCAUUUACGUCCGAUUAAGGUCCAAUUUACGUCCUAUUAAGGUCCAAUUUACGUCCGAUUAAGGUUCAAUUUACGUCCGAUUAAGGUCCAAUUUACGUCCGAUUAAGGUCCCAUUUACGUCCGAUUAAGGUCCAAUUUACGUCCUAUUAAGGUCCAAUUUACGUCCGGUUAAGGUCCAAUUUACGUCCGAUUAAGGUCCCAUUUACGUCCCAUUAAGGUCCAAUUUACGUCCUAUUAAGGUCCAAUUUACGUCCGAUUAAGGUCCAAUUUACGUCCGAUUAAGGUCCAAUUUAUGUCCUAUUAAGGUCCAAUUUACGUCUGAUUAAGGUCCAAUUUACGUCCGAUUAAGGUCCAAUUUACGUCCCCUAGGACGUCCGAUUAAGGUCCAAAUUACGUCCGAUUAAGGUCCAAUAUACGUCCCCUCGGACCUUAGAUGGACGUUCGGUAGCGCGACAUUUGGACCAAAAUAGGACGUAUAAAGGACGUUCCUCGGACGAAAACGGACGUCCAAUGGACGUCCCUAAAGUCCGUGAAGGACGUCCAAUGGACGUCCAUUGGACGUCCUUGUGCUAUUAGGGCUGCUUCGAAUAAUUAUGCAGGAGAAGAUAGCAGGAAAAUGGUCCAUAGGAAGAAGACAAAACUCCUGGCUAAAGAAUCUACGGGAAUGGUAUAGCUCUAGCAACAACGAAUUGUUUCGGUCAGCAGUUUCGAAAAUACGUAUAGCAUGAUGAUCGCCAACCUUCGGAACGAAGAUGGCACUUGAAGAAUAGACACGUUUAUAAAAAAUAGACAUGUUUAGUAAAAGCCUCAACCUAUGCGUGUGAAUUUUUUGAAAUUUAAAAAUUGAUUGCGUCCCACGUAAAAAAAAUAAAAACGAAAAAUGAAGUAUUUGACGGUGGGGGAAGGAAAAUGGGUGGUGGGUUAAAAUUACGCUGAGUCUUAUUUUUGAAGUUAUACUUCUUUAGGCGCGAUUGAGAGUAAAAUUUCAUAAUUCUGCGCGCAUGCGCACACAGACAGUAUAGUAUACGCUGUGAGCUCGUACGUAGAGGGGAUAUUUACAAAUUCGCGAGCGCCAGUAGUGACAAGUCUGUAAACCUUUACCGGAAAUUUGACAUAAAUGUCAAAGUGAUUAAUUUAAAAUUAAAAACAUUAAUUAUAAAAAAUAUUAGUUGGUCAAAGCUGUGGUAUAUAUUUUUAACUUAAAUAUACUUACGUUUUAAAUACUGAAUUUAAGUUUUUUUAAUGUUCCGUAAUAUGUAAUUAUAAAUCAACCUAUCAAUCUUAGCGCCAUCUACACGAUAAUUGUGAAAGUAUCCGAAGUAAGAAAUUCAUAUUUUAUCAAUAUAACGUCAAAAUGAUUAGCAAAAUCUUAAAAAAAUCGAUUACAAUUUAAUUAAUUUUUUGCAUUGUAAAUAAUAAGCGAUAACAAUUAAAUAAUAAAUUUAAAAAUUACCGGUGAAAGUUAAAUUAGUAACCGCUAGAAGCGACACCAGCGAAGCUCAGAGCGUAUAAAAGUUAUACGGGAUCUGAUUGGGUGUCAAAAUCAUCUGUCAAUAAUUGUUCAAUAUGGAGAUUUUGGUUAUGAGAUGUUAGCACCUCAUUGAUCGAAUUUCGUAAAAAUAAUUAUACCAUUCUUUUGCUCACGGUUUGUACAGCAAUGAUCACUAGGUUUCAGAUUUUGAUCACCUGUAGUUUAUUUUUUAUUAAGGGUUGAAAAUUCAAGGACGAAAAAAAAGAUGUUGGCACCUCAUUGAUCGAAAUCUUUAAAACGAAUGACUGUAUUCGAUAGGAAAUAAAGCGCUGAACAAUGAUCACCUAUAUUGAACAUUGAUCAGGCUUUUUUUUGCACUGAAAAUAAUUAUUAAAGUUGCAAUAACCUUAGCACGCACGCGCAGUCCAUUAAAAAUUUUAUAUCUAACAGGAGCUCUGUUCUUUAUUUGAAAAAUUUUCAAGGACAGUCACUCUUCGGUCCGAGUAAAAUGAUUCUGUCUAAAUCUUGACCCGAGGGGUAGCGGCGUGUAAUUUGGGUUGCCUAUAUAAACAUCGACGAAAUUUGAGUUAUUUAAAACGCUGAAAAGACUAGUUAGUGAUAAUAAAAACCGAUAUUUACUGCGGUUACAUGAUAUUUAAUAUUAAAAUAUUAUUGGAUGUGGUAGAAUGUAGACUCUUUGUAUAAUUACCAAUUGAACAGUGAAGCUGUUAGAUCAAUUUUCCGAUUCAAUCAUUUCUACUGUUUACAGUUGUGUGUUUGUGUUUGCUUUUGAGUAUGUAUUUCAUUUUCUUGACAUCGAAAAUGUUAGGUGUGGAAAGAAUUAAUAAGUGCGUGAAAUGCGAAAAAGUGUAUAAACAUAAACAUGAUUUAAAAAGACAUGUAAAAAGUUCGCAUCCCGACAAAUUGGAUGCAAUUGCCCCUUUAAAAGUGCUUAAAGGCAACGUCUAUAAGUGCACACAUUGUGAUAAACAAUUUAGAUAUAAGUCAAGUUUAAACUUUCAUGUCAAAAAAGUGCACACAAAUGUAUCAGUUUAUGCAGAAACUAAAACAUUUCAUCAUAAAUGUUCUGUGUGUAAUUAUCAUGCAACUUUUAAAAAGGACUUUAUUAAACAUUAUGAAACUUCUCAUAGCAUUCCUAUGCAAUAGGAUACAAUAGAGUUUUCCAACCAUGAUGACUUUAUUUCUUGGAAGAAUAAAAUAGAGCUUGAAACAAA
This 8924-nucleotide long non-coding RNA is filed under the name Diabrotica virgifera virgifera (western corn rootworm). RNAcentral describes it as "uncharacterized LOC126886611". The record is from RNAcentral. Lineage: Eukaryota; Metazoa; Arthropoda; Insecta; Coleoptera; Chrysomelidae.